AUACGAAGGGGGCAAGCGUUACCCGGAUUUACUGGGCGUAAAGGGUGCGUAGGUGGUUAUUUAAGUCCGUUGUGAAACCCCUGGGCUCAACCUGGGAACUGCAUUGGAUACUGGAUGACUAGAGUGCGGUAGAGGUUAGCGGAAUUCCUGGUGUAGCAGUGAAAUGCGUAGAGAUAAGGAGGAACAUCCGUGGCGAAGGCGGCUAACUGGACCGACAUUGACACUGAGGCACGAAAGCGUGGGUAGCAAACAGGAUUAGAUACCCUGGUAGUCCACGCCGUAAACGAUGAGUACUGGGUGUUGGGGGUAACGAGGCACGCAGUGUCGCAGCUAACGCAAUAAGUACUCCGCCUGGGGAGUACGGUCGCAAGACUAA
Molecule: ribosomal RNA, 376 nt
Filed under: uncultured bacterium
Lineage: Bacteria
Description: bacterial SSU rRNA
Rfam family: Bacterial small subunit ribosomal RNA
Source: RNAcentral